AGACUCGUCUCUGGCUGCUCUCGAUAAGCCUCCGCGCCAAACCGGACAGCACGACUGAAGCGAGUAUCCAAAAGCGUCCGAAAAGUACGAGCAGUGCAGCGGCGCAGCUCCGCCCCGAGGUGGCCUGGAUCUGGAGUGAUCAAGUGCGAGGAGCAGCCAACUCUUCUAGGACACCCCCACCUCCGACACCUCCGUCAGCGGCGGCACGCCUUGCAGCAUCAGAGACGGUGCUGAUGGAGGAAGAGGAGAGAGGGCGAGAGACCAAAGAACUACAGACUCUUCACAACCUGCUCAAACUCU
This is a long non-coding RNA of Amphiprion ocellaris (clown anemonefish), 300 nucleotides long. The record is from Ensembl. Lineage: Eukaryota; Metazoa; Chordata; Actinopteri; Pomacentridae.